Molecule: ribosomal RNA, 487 nt
Filed under: uncultured bacterium
Lineage: Bacteria
Description: partial 16S ribosomal RNA
Rfam family: Bacterial small subunit ribosomal RNA
Source: RNAcentral
GACGAACGCUGGCGGCGUGCUUAACACAUGCAAGUCGAGCGGAAAGGCCCCCCUCUUGGUGGGGGUGCUCGAGUGGCGAACGGGUGAGUAACACGUGGGUGAUCUGCCCUGUACUUGGGGAUAAUCUUGGGAAACUGGGUCUAAUACCGGAUAGGACCAUGGUUUAGUGUCUCAUGGUGGAAAGAUUAUUGUUUUGGUGCAGGAUGAGCUCGCGGCCUAUCAGCUUGUGGGUGGGGUAAUGGCCUACCAAGGCGUCGACGGGUAGCCGGUGUGAGAUGGUGGGCGGGAGCGUGUGACCUGAGAUACUGCGCAGACUCCUACGGGAGGCAGCAGUGGGGAGGCAUGAGCGAUGAGCGCAGGCCUGAUGGCGGGACGCCGCGUGGGGGAUGCCGGGCGUCGGGUGGUAGCCUCCGUUCGUUAGGGAGGAAGCCACUGUUUUUGGGUGUGGGGACGGUAAAUUUGUUAAGAAGCACCGGCUAACUACGUG